GAGUAGACCGUGUAGAGGACGUGGUCGGUGUUCACAAAGCAGUCCAGCAUCUCCUCCUCUGCUUUGGCUUGACGCCAGAAGAAGGGUGGCAACGAAAUAGAGAUGGAGAAGACCCACACCAGCACGAUCAUGAUGGCCGCCCUUUUGGGAGUCCUUUUAGCAGAAUACUCCACCGCAUCGGUGAUGGCCCAGUAGCGGUCCAGGGCGAUGACACAGAGAUGCAUGAUGGAAGCAGUGCAACAGGUGAUAUCCGACGACAGCCAGAAGUCGCAGACCACCUGGCCUAGUGUCCAGCGUCCAGUGACCGUGUACAUGGUGCUGAUGGGCAUCACCAGGAUGGACACGAGCAGCAUUUCAAAGCAAAACUCCUGCAAGUACCAUUUACAAGAAGGAUCUACGCGAGGCACAAAGCAAAUCUCAAGCAAACUGAAACUGACAGUUAAUCAAAAAAGAUGAUUAAGAAAAUAACCGUAAUCAAAGGAAAUAACUUCUCCAUCAACAAUCAGCAUACGCCACGACUGCAAGCUCCUGCUGCCUGCACCUCCUUGCCAUGAUGGACUGUACCUUGAACCCUGUGCUGAAAGAAGCCUGUUCUUUCAUAAGUUGCUUUCAUCAGAGUAUUAUGUCACAGCAACAGAAGAGAAACUAGGACAGCAUAAAUAAAAUUACAUUUCAUAAAUUUGCCAGCACCCAAAUCUAACUCAACCCUCCCAAGUAUACAGAGCCAUGUUCUAUCUUGUCCUUGUCAAAUACCCCUGUCUUUCUCUCAGGUACUUCCAAAGGCUGAUGGCUGACACCUUGGCAACAAAAAUGUAUAACUACAUUGUCUUGGUUCAUUCUUCACUCAGUAGAUUAUUGCUUUGGAUCCUAAAUGCCAAUAUUUUUUCUGUAUAUAUUAAAUGAAAAGGUCUAAGACAGUGAUGACUUCUCUUGUUAGAAAAGUUUACUUUUCUGCCAAAUGUAUACUCUAUUUUCAGUAUUAGAGUAUGCUUUUAUUAUGUCUAUUUUUUUCUCUACUACCGCUUGACUAUAACAGACUAGUUAUGUGAAUUUGUCCUAACGUAGUAAAUUUUAAGGCUAAAACUUUGGGCUGUGGUGAGUUCUCAGAUCAUUGUCAGUUUGUUUCCAAAAGGAAUAUGAGACCCCAGUUCUCUCUUAUUCUUCCUUCUGCUUCUUAAUCACGAGGUAAUGCAGUUUACCAUUUGCCCCAUCUUGGUCCUCUGGCAUCCUUAUCUCUAGUCCAAAUAUAGGUUAACAAAAUCUUAGAAUUUCCAAUCCAAAAGCAUGAGCCAAUAUGCACCUUUCAUAUUCAUUAAUCAAUCAUUUAACAUUUGGGUUGUUAUAGUAACAAGAAGCUAACUAACAAAGUCCCUUCAUGUCCUGAGAGAGGUAUCAUAUAUUUUUUUAAAAUGUUUUUUUGGUGUUAUUUUCAUUAUGUUUGCAUUUUAAGUAUGAGUGUGUAUAGAAAAUUGGCAUUUAGUUGAGUAAGAUUGCUGAGUAUUUUGAGUCAUAAAAAUUGGGUUGUCAUUUGUUUUAUAUUUUUGUGCAUAUGUAUGUUUAUUUUUACUUAUUAUUAAUGUUUUAUUGUUUAAAAACAGAUGAAUUC
Molecule: long non-coding RNA, 1606 nt
Filed under: Mus musculus (house mouse)
Lineage: Eukaryota; Metazoa; Chordata; Mammalia; Rodentia; Muridae
Description: RIKEN cDNA D430036J16 gene, transcript variant 3 (D430036J16Rik)
Source: RNAcentral